Molecule: ribosomal RNA, 914 nt
Filed under: uncultured bacterium
Lineage: Bacteria
Description: bacterial SSU rRNA
Rfam family: Bacterial small subunit ribosomal RNA
Source: RNAcentral
AGAGUUUGAUCCUGGCUCAGAUUGAACGCUGGCGGCAUGCUUUACACAUGCAAGUCGAACGGCAGCACGGGUGCUUGCACCUGGUGGCGAGUGGCGAACGGGUGAGUAAUAUAUCGGAACAUGUCCGGAAGUGGGGGAUAACGUAGCGAAAGUUACGCUAAUACCGCAUAUGCCCUGAGGGGGAAAGGGGGGGAUCGCAAGACCUCUCGCUUUCGGAGUGGCCGAUAUCAGAUUAGCUAGUUGGUGGGGUAAAGGCCUACCAAGGCGACGAUCUGUAGCUGGUCUGAGAGGACGACCAGCCACACUGGGACUGAGACACGGCCCAGACUCCUACGGGAGGCAGCAGUGGGGAAUUUUGGACAAUGGGCGCAAGCCUGAUCCAGCCAUGCCGCGUGAGUGAAGAAGGCCUUCGGGUUGUAAAGCUCUUUCAGCCGGAAAGAAAUCGCACUGGAUAAUACCUUGUGUGGAUGACGGUACCGGAAGAAGAAGCACCGGCUAACUACGUGCCAGCAGCCGCGGUAAUACGUAGGGUGCGAGCGUUAAUCGGAAUUACUGGGCGUAAAGCGUGCGCAGGCGGUUCGCUAAGUCUGAUGUGAAAGCCCCGGGCUCAACCUGGGAAUGGCAUUGGAAACUGGCGGGCUGGAGUGUGGCAGAGGGGGGUGGAAUUCCGCGUGUAGCAGUGAAAUGCGUAGAGAUGCGGAGGAACACCGAUGGCGAAGGCAGCCCCCUGGGCUGACACUGACGCUCAGGCACGAAAGCGUGGGGAGCAAACAGGAUUAGAUACCCUGGUAGUCCACGCCCUAAACGAUGUCAACUAGGUGUUGGGGAAGCGAUUUCUCAGUACCGUAGCUAACGCGUGAAGUUGACCGCCUGGGGAGUACGGCCGCAAGGUUAAAACUCAAAGGAAUUGACGG